This 91-nucleotide ribosomal RNA is filed under the name uncultured bacterium. RNAcentral's name for it is "partial 16S ribosomal RNA". It matches the Rfam family "Bacterial small subunit ribosomal RNA", at positions 1409 to 1500 of the family's 1533-position model. The record is from RNAcentral.
AGCCGGUAAUACCCGAAGUCAGUAGUCCAACCUCGUGAGGACGCUGCCGAAGGUAGGAUUGGCGACUGGGGUGAAGUCGUAACAAGGUAGC